Triticum dicoccoides is the source of this 1345-nucleotide long non-coding RNA. RefSeq lists it as uncharacterized. Lineage: Eukaryota; Viridiplantae; Streptophyta; Magnoliopsida; Poales; Poaceae. The record is from RefSeq and is a predicted model, not a curated record. The transcript is spliced from 5 exons.
CUCACCCACGCGGCCAUCUCCCCACUUAUCUCCUUCUCCAACCUCCUAAUCCAUCUAAUGGGAUCCCUCCCUGGCCAGUGAUGUGCAUCGCCUCCACACAGGGGCGGCAAUCGAUUCGUUUGGUGGCGGACUUGAGGGAGACUCGAUGGGCGGCGAGCGAUUUGAUGCGGCGGAGGUUGGGGGACAGAGACCGGCCGGCGGGUGCCUCGGGGCUUCUUCUUCCUCGUCCACCCCUCCAGAUGUGGCGGCGCAUGAGGCGGCGGCGGCGGCUCUAAUCCCGCGGUAGCCGUGGUCCCACUUCUCGGGCGGGAUUUGCGGCGCUGAGGCGGCCGGCGCGACGCGAGCUUGGGGUUGUGCUUGUGCCCGCCGAGGGGCGUGGCUACCGGCCACUCAAUCGGGCACCGGAGGAAGCAUAAGGAGGAGGGGAUGCUGCGGUGCGCCGUGAUCUUAUCCCGGCUGCGUGGUUAGGUUUUGGGCGAGGAUGGAGGGGACGAGGGCGGCGGAGUUGGCCGGCGGCGGGGCCGGGGAUGUGCAGAUUAAGGUCGGAGGAAGCAUCUGCUACGAGGAACAUCUUCGUCUUCAAGCUACAGGUGGAAUAUGCCGAGCAAGCACGGGCGUGCAUCCGUUCCGCCUUGGGUAGCCACCCCAGAUUCGUCGUGCCCCUGCACAUUGUGAUCUGAUCGCUCAAGCUGAUCCUGAGGAGAGGUGAAAAACUACCAGCAUGUACAAUGCUCGUCAUGUUUGGCGUACAACCUGUUGCGUGGCAAUGACGGCUUUGCAGGGCGGCGGUGUUGGCGCUGGAGACCACCUUUGGCUCGGCUCCUUGUCGCCGUUUUGCCAUCCGCCCUUGCGCACGUCCCUCCUGGCAAAACUCUAGUCGUCGUGCGGGGAUUGGUUGCCAUCGACGUUGUUGCCUUGGAGCUACCAGCGCGUGAUUUGACCUAUGAAGUUUCAUGCCUGAGUGCUAUUUAUUGGACUCACUCCACUUGAUCCCAAGUGAUGCGAUCAUACAGGACAAACAAUUUCCUUUGAAGGGGAGAGCAUUUCAAAGGAAGCACGGACUGGAGGUGUAAGGGUGGUUCAGGAUUUGGAAAGAGAGUGCAUUAAGGGAGCCAGGAGUAAUUGGGUAGUUCAGGAUUUGAAAAGGGAGCCAGGAUUAGUUUGUGAAUGAACAAGUAGUGUUCCUUAUGUUAUAUUUUAGCUUAAUUGAGAAACAUAGUUCUAGACUAUAGGAUAUUUCUUAUUUAUUUGUACGUUCUGUAUGAAUGUAUGUUAUUAUUCAGUUGUGAACUUUGGUGUAAGUAUCUACUCAGCUUGCCAAUUUUGAUAAUGCGAUGUUUGCAAA